Molecule: small nuclear RNA, 107 nt
Organism: Cricetulus griseus (Chinese hamster)
Lineage: Eukaryota; Metazoa; Chordata; Mammalia; Rodentia; Cricetidae
Source: Ensembl
GGGCUCCCUUCAGCAGCAUACAUGCUAACACUAGAACGACACAGAGAAGAAGACAUGGCCCCUGUGCAAGAAUGGCCCAAAAAUCUGCAGUGUUCCCCUACAUUUUU